GUGGAUUAGAUACCCUGGUAGUCCGCGCCGUAAACGGUGGGCACUAGUUGUGGGAACCUUCCACGGUUUCCGCGACGCAGCUAACGCAUUAAGUGCCCCGCCUGGGGAGUACGAUCGCAAGAUUAAAACUCAAAGGAAUUGACGGGGCCCCGCACAAGCAGCGGAGCAUGCGGCUUAAUUCGACGCAACGCGAAGAACCUUACCAAGGCUUGACAGUUAGAGAAAAGCUACAGAGAUGUAGUGUCCGCAAGGGCUCUAUUCAGGUGGUGCACGGCUGUCGACAACU
RNAcentral lists this ribosomal RNA (286 nucleotides) under uncultured bacterium. RNAcentral describes it as "partial 16S ribosomal RNA". It matches the Rfam family "Bacterial small subunit ribosomal RNA", at positions 773 to 1060 of the family's 1533-position model. The record is from RNAcentral.